RNAcentral lists this ribosomal RNA (875 nucleotides) under Rickenella fibula. RNAcentral's name for it is "LSU rRNA". It matches the Rfam family "Eukaryotic large subunit ribosomal RNA", at positions 73 to 935 of the family's 3401-position model. Lineage: Eukaryota; Fungi; Basidiomycota; Agaricomycetes; Hymenochaetales; Rickenellaceae. The record is from RNAcentral.
CAUUCCCCUAGUAACUGCGAGUGAAGCGGGAAAAGCUCAAAUUUAAAAUCUGGCGGUCAUGCCGUCCGAGUUGUAAUCUGGAGAAGCGUUUUCCGUGUUGGACCGUGUACAAGUCUCUUGGAACAGAGCGUCAUAGAGGGUGAGAAUCCCGUCUUUGACACGGACUACCAAUGCUUUGUGAUACGCUCUCAAAGAGUCGAGUUGUUUGGGAAUGCAGCUCAAAAUGGGUGGUAAAUGCCAUCUAAAGCUAAAUAUUGGCGAGAGACCGAUAGCGAACAAGUACCGUGAGGGAAAGAUGAAAAGCACUUUGGAAAGAGAGUUAAACAGUACGUGAAAUUGUUGAAAGGGAAACGCUUGAAGUCAGUCGCGUUGUCUGGGACUCAGCCUUGCUUCUGCAUGGUGUAUUUCCUGGUUAACGGGCCAACAUCGAUUUUGGUCGGUGGAUAAAGUCAAGAGGAAUGUGGCACCCUCGGGUGUGUUAUAGCCUCUUGUCGGAUGCAUCGACUGGGAUCGAGGAUCGCAGCACGCCUUUUUGGCCGGGGUUCGCCCACGUAACGUGCUUAGGAUGUUGGCAUAAUGGCUUUAAUCGACCCGUCUUGAAACACGGACCAAGGAGUCUAACAUGCCCGCGAGUGUUAGGGUGGAAAACCCUUGCGCGUAAUGAAAGUGAAAGUUGGGACCUCUGUCAUGGGGGGCACCGACGCCCGGCCUUGAACUUCUGUGACGGCGCCGCGGUAGAGCGUGUAUGUUGGGACCCGAAAGAUGGUGAACUAUGCCUGAAUAGGGCGAAGCCAGAGGAAACUCUGGUGGAGGCUCGUAGCGAUUCUGACGUGCAAAUCGAUCGUCAAAUUUGGGUAUAGGGGCGAAAGACUAAU